Molecule: transfer RNA, 74 nt
Filed under: Bacillus stercoris
Lineage: Bacteria; Bacillati; Bacillota; Bacilli; Caryophanales; Bacillaceae
Description: tRNA-Val
Rfam family: tRNA
About the family: Transfer RNA (tRNA) molecules are approximately 80 nucleotides in length.
Source: RNAcentral
GGAGGAUUAGCUCAGCUGGGAGAGCAUCUGCCUUACAAGCAGAGGGUCGGCGGUUCACCCGUCAUCCUCCACCA